Molecule: ribosomal RNA, 1346 nt
Filed under: uncultured bacterium
Lineage: Bacteria
Description: partial 16S ribosomal RNA
Rfam family: Bacterial small subunit ribosomal RNA
Source: RNAcentral
GACGAACGCUGGCGGCGUGCUUAACACAUGCAAGUCGAACGGAAAGGCCCUGCUUUUGUGGGGUGCUCGAGUGGCGAACGGGUGAGUAACACGUGAGUAACCUGCCCUUGACUUUGGGAUAACUUCAGGAAACUGGGGCUAAUACCGGAUAGGAGCUCCUGCUGCAUGGUGGGGGUUGGAAAGUUUCGGCGGUUGGGGAUGGACUCGCGGCUUAUCAGCUUGUUGGUGGGGUAGUGGCUUACCAAGGCUUUGACGGGUAGCCGGCCUGAGAGGGUGACCGGCCACAUUGGGACUGAGAUACGGCCCAGACUCCUACGGGAGGCAGCAGUGGGGAAUAUUGCACAAUGGGCGGAAGCCUGAUGCAGCAACGCCGCGUGCGGGAUGACGGCCUUCGGGUUGUAAACCGCUUUCGCCUGUGACGAAGCGUGAGUGACAGUAAUGGGUAGAGAAGCACCGGCUAACUACGUGCCAGCAGCCGCGGUGAUACGUAGGGUGCGAGCGUUGUCCGGAUUUAUUGGGCGUAAAGGGCUCGUAGGUGGUUGAUCGCGUCGGAAGUGUAAUCUUGGGGCUUAACCCUGAGCGUGCUUUCGAUACGGGUUGACUUGAGGAAGGUAGGGGAGAAUGGAAUUCCUGGUGGAGCGGUGGAAUGCGCAGAUAUCAGGAGGAACACCAGUGGCGAAGGCGGUUCUCUGGGCCUUUCCUGACGCUGAGGAGCGAAAGCGUGGGGAGCGAACAGGCUUAGAUACCCUGGUAGUCCACGCUGUAAACGGUGGGUACUAGGUGUGGGGUCCAUUCCACGGGUUCCGUGCCGUAGCUAACGCUUUAAGUACCCCGCCUGGGGAGUACGGCCGCAGGGCUAAAACUCAAAGGAAUUGACGGGGCCCCGCACAAGCGGCGGAGCAUGCGGAUUAAUUCGAUGCAACGCGUAGAACCUUACCUGGGUUUGACAUGGAUCGGGAGUGCUCAGAGAUGGGUGUGCCUCUUUUGGGGUCGGUUCACAGGUGGUGCAUGGCUGUCGUCAGCUCGUGUCGUGAGAUGUUGGGUUAAGUCCCGCAACGAGCGCAACCCUUGUUCACUGUUGCCAGCACGUUAUGGUGGGGACUCAGUGGAGACCGCCGGGGUCAACUCGGAGGAAGGUGGGGAUGACGUCAAGUCAUCAUGCCCCUUAUGUCCAGGGCUUCACGCAUGCUACAAUGGCUGGUACAGAGAGUGGCGAGCCUGUGAGGGUGAGCGAAUCUCGGAAAGCCGGUCUCAGUUCGGAUUGGGGUCUGCAACUCGACCUCAUGAAGUCGGAGUCGCUAGUAAUCGCAGAUCAGCAACGCUGCGGUGAAUACGUUCCCGGGGCU